GAUGAACGCUAGCUACAGGCUUAACACAUGCAAGUCGAGGGGAAACGAUGGGAGGGCUUGCCCUCCCAGGCGUCGACCGGCGCACGGGUGAGUAACACGUAUCCAACCUGCCCUCUUCCGGGGAACAACCUUGCGAAAGUAAGACUAAUGCCCCAUGUGUCCUCAGACGGCAUCAGACGAGGACGAAAGAUUUAUCGGAAGUGGAUGGGGAUGCGCCUGAUUAGGCAGUUGGCGGGGCAACGGCCCACCAAGCCGACGAUCAGUAGGGGUUCUGAGAGGAAGGUCCCCCACAUUGGAACUGAGACACGGUCCAAACUCCUACGGGAGGCAGCAGUGAGGAAUAUUGGUCAAUGGGCGAAAGCCUGAACCAGCCAAGUAGCGUGCAGGAUGACGGCCCUAUGGGUUGUAAACUGCUUUUAUAAGGGAAUAAAGUGGGUCUCGUGAGACUUUUUGCAUGUACCUUAUGAAUAGGACCGGCUAAUUCCGUG
Molecule: ribosomal RNA, 488 nt
Filed under: uncultured bacterium
Lineage: Bacteria
Description: bacterial SSU rRNA
Rfam family: Bacterial small subunit ribosomal RNA
Source: RNAcentral